This 228-nucleotide ribosomal RNA is filed under the name uncultured fungus. RNAcentral's name for it is "partial 18S ribosomal RNA". It matches the Rfam family "Eukaryotic small subunit ribosomal RNA", at positions 1045 to 1273 of the family's 1831-position model. Lineage: Eukaryota; Fungi. The record is from RNAcentral.
ACUAGGGAUCGGGCGAUGUNAUUUUUUGACUCGCUCGGCACCUUACGAGAAAUCAAAGUUUUUGGGUUCUGGGGGGAGUAUGGUCGCAAGGCUGAAACUUAAAGAAAUUGACGGAAGGGNACCAACAGGAGUGGAGCCUGCGGCUUAAUUUGACUCAAAACGGGGAAACUCAACAGGUCCAGAAACAAUAAGGAUUGACAGAUUGAGAGCUCUUUCUUGAUUAUGUGG